CCUGGCGGCCAUAGAGACUUGGAACCACCUGAUCCCGUCCCGAACUCAGACGUGAAACAGGUCUUCGCCGAUCCUAGUGUGGGGCCUCCCCAUGCGAACCUAGGGCACCGCCAGGG
This is a ribosomal RNA of Allochromatium vinosum DSM 180, 116 nucleotides long. NCBI's taxonomy places the organism in Bacteria, Pseudomonadati, Pseudomonadota, Gammaproteobacteria, Chromatiales, Chromatiaceae. The record is from Rfam.